RNAcentral lists this microRNA (23 nucleotides) under Drosophila mojavensis. RNAcentral's name for it is "Dmo-Mir-9698_5p (mature (guide))". The record is from RNAcentral. Lineage: Eukaryota; Metazoa; Arthropoda; Insecta; Diptera; Drosophilidae.
GAACUCGAUUCUCCUCUGUCAUA